This is a non-coding RNA of Pogona vitticeps (central bearded dragon), 3517 nucleotides long. NCBI's taxonomy places the organism in Eukaryota, Metazoa, Chordata, Lepidosauria, Squamata, Agamidae. The record is from RefSeq and is a predicted model, not a curated record.
GUGAACGGAGCCGUUUGUAACUCGAAACGUUCACAAGUGGAGAUGUUCGUAAGUCGAGGUACUACUGUACACUUUCUUGCGCAGGCAUGCGCUGCUGCUCAUAGGGUCUCUGAGUGCUUUAGUGUAGCAAAGUUUACUCUCAGUUUCAGUCAAAUUAUGGUACAGUGCUUUUUGAAGCCUUUGCGGAGCAAGAAUCAAGGUGCACUUAAAAGAACUGCAGUGAGGAAAUCUCUUUUGCUGGGAGGUAGGAUAUUAAAUGAAAGAAAACUGUGGUUCUCCUGACACUCCAGGGCAUUUACCUUGGCUUUUCUUGCAUUAAAUGGCUGCAGGAAAUCCAGAAUAGAGAAUAAUGAAUGAAUUCAGACCUCACCCCCUUUGUCCAUCAUCCCUUUAUGUCAAAACAACAUGCACUUCAUGUUGUCUGUCCAGUCAGCCCGCUGCACCUCCCUUGAAGCUUAGGUCAGGUUUUUCAGUACUAACAUGAAUGUACGUUGUAGAGUUGUUGCAGUUAUUCUCGAAGAGGCAUGGGUGGUUUUAUUUUCUUCCAAGCCACUGACAUUUCUAGAGGUUCUACUGGGCAUCCUCACGCCCAAAGCACUUCCUAAUUUGACCCCCCCAUCCACCCUUUUCAGAUGUUUACAUCAGGACACACGAUCCCAUUUAUUUCCUGCCUGCCUCAACCCUCCAGAAGGGUGGCUCAGAAAGCCCAGCCUUCUCUGUUAUGUUCAGCAUUCUCAUCCACAGUGCAAGCAAAACCAGUUUAAAACUUGUUGGAGAAGCACUUUUCUAAACAUGAGUUUAAAGCGUUAGUUUUCAUGUGGAGAGUAGUUGGUCACUUAACAAAAAAACAAAAAAACCUGAACAUAUUCUACUUUGGAAGCUGUUCUUCAUAAAGUGCCGAUAAAACAUUGUAAUACAAUAUCAACUUACCUGGCAUUGAGGGCCACACUUCUUACAAUACUGUAGCUGCUAUAUUUAUUUAAAUGGAAGGUGAACCAUUACUGCACUAGGGGCAGGUCAUCAGGCUUCUUUUUAAGAUGUGGUAUUCCGGCUUCGGUUUUGUUUCAAAAGCAAUUUAAUCGUGUGAUGUAACAACGGGUGCUGUUUUAACCAAGGUUAUGAAAUAGCCAGGGACUCUUCCUUUGUGUGUGUUUUUUUAAAAAAAAGAGAUAUAUUUUGAUGUUUGCAGUGGAUAAAGGGGAUGGGGGUAAAAUAAAUGGUACCUCAUCUGUGGUGGCAGUUUCCAGUAUAUAUUUCACAGGAGUAUAUGGACUUUUAUUUUUGUACAUGCUGUUAGUUUAAAAAAAAGAAAGAAAGAAUACGCUUUCUUGAAUUUAAUGUUCUUUCCUGGCCUUCUCUGUCCAGCUUGGCCUUGAUUUUAGUACGCGUGUUCCUGCCUAAAACGGUGACUCUUUUUAUCCAACUCUUCCCGGAUCCCACUUGUGCUUGCAAGUGCCACUGUCUAUUUCCCCCAAGCUUGGCUUACUCAAGAGGUGCUUGGCGUUGCCGAGAGUCCGGUUCCGGAAGCGAUACAUCUCUGGUGCAUUGUGGUCUGCCAAAGGGGGAGAGCGGCUUUCCCCUGGUGCCAUAGGGCUUGCGAUCUGUCAGGCACAACCUCCAUUCCUUUCAACAAGACUUGUGUGAGCAACGAUCCUUCCUACUCUUUGAUGGCUAGCAAUAGUAAAUUCAUGGCAACCUUAUGGGCCAGGCUUGUGGAGGCGCUCGGUGGCAGCAGCUCUGUUAAGAGGUGCACUUUUAAAGGUUCCAGUCCUCAAGGUUCAUCCUGUGGGAGCUUUUCAGGUUGUGUUUUUAUGUCUUUUCAAACCAUGGUGUUUCAAUUCAGAAGAAGGAGGAGAACCAAACCUCCAGGAGUGUUUAAGUGAAUCGUGUUCAAAACCCACAGCGAGGCUCUUUCUCAAAGCUUUAGUUUGGGAGGCUUCUCCCAGUAGCACCCCCCAAACGGCAAGCUGCAUUCCCAGCAGUGUCCGUCUGCUCCAAGACACCCUGAAUUUAGGAAUCAAGUCGUGGGUAAACAUAUAACUCUCAUGUUCUGCUUUUUGAGGGCAGCAACACUCUGAAAGCUUACAAUAUUUUCUACUUUAAAAAAAAGAGCUUUACUGAAUGAAGUUAAAAAAAAAAAGGAACAGAGAGGAAAUUACUUUUCCAAGCCUUUGCAAAACUGAUCCAAAAAUCCACCUAGCACAUUACCCAGACUAGCUUCCUUUCCAGGCGUGUUACUGGAAAAUUGGCAUUAAAAGGGGAUGGUUUACUUGUGUCCCUGAGUGAUGGAGACAGAUCUACAUUUUUCUCAUUUUUCACUGAAGUCCAGUUCACACCUGCAUGCUGAUUGUUUGAUUGAUGCAACAUCAGGCCAUGGUUUGCAUGUGUUAUCAGUCGUUGUCACAAGUUAAACACCAGGCAGAUUUUUCUCUGCUGUUUCUAGUACAACAAAGUCUCAGAAAAGCAGUUUGCAGGUUGUCCUGCAAUGGAGACGAAACAUAGGUUGAGCCCUUAAAACCUGUUUGUAAAAUUGAACAAUUCACUCCAGGCUUAUUUGCAAGCAUUCUGGUACUUAUUUGUAAAUAAUUACAUUUGCAGGGAUUUUGAUUCUGCUGUCUUGAGAGAUGAGAUGGUUAAGAGACAGAAAACUCCAUUGUGGUUUCUGUGCAGAUUGUCUUUAAUUUUAAUUUUGUUGCCUCUAAUGGUUUAAAUAGCCUUUAGGGUCUGGGUUUUGGAUGAGAAAGCAGACCGAGGGAUGGGAAAAGCUACUCUUUGAAAAUGGAGCUGAAUAUCAGGAGGUAAGAGAUGAUUAAUGGAGAAUGCCAGUUUCAGGUAUCUCAGCCCCAUUUCCAGAUUAGAAUCAUAUUUGAAUGACCUCUGGCAGGUACAUAGAUAUAAAGAGACGCUUAAAAGCAAAGCAGUUCUGCCAUCUAAAUAUUAGGAGAUUUAUUUAUGAAAAAGCAAAACAGUCUUCAAAGUGCCUUUUUAGAAGAUGGUGCUGUAGAUUUUUGUUUCUUCCCAAAGUUGUAUGAGGCUGGGGGAAUAUAGUGAAAUGUUUAAUGAAAAAAGAAAUGUCACGUUCUUGAUAGUACCACUAACAGGGUUGUGUGCUACCUAAUGUCCUCCCCCCCUUCUCCCCCAGGACCAAAAUAACCGUGGACCAUAUUGUAUUUGGGAACAGUGACAGUUACAGAUGCAUGAUUAAAAUCCAUGGUGUGGAUUUUAGAUACUUUCAAGUAAUGAAAUUUAGGUAUGCAUCAUGCACUCCUUAAUUCUUGUGUACCUUGACACUGUUCAAAUUCUGAAAAUCCCACCUAUUAACCUUAUUUUAAAAUAUACAACCUUCUAGUCCUCAUGGUUACACUAGCAGAAGUUUUGAAAUGAUUAACAGACACUGUAUGUACCUCAGUAUCUGUGUAAUGCUGCAGAAGUAAUAACAGCAAAGUUGAGAUGAUCAACUCUGUAAAACUACUUGCACCCGCCUGCAAAAAAUAAACAAAAAUCAUAGUCUUAAUCA